GGGGGGGGGGGGGGGGGGGGGGGGGGGGGGCGGGGGGGGGGGGGGGGGGCGGCGGGGGGGGGGGGCUCGGGGGGCGGGCGGGGGCGUGAGGCGGGGGUAGCCGUGCCUCGCGUGUGGGGUGGCUGCGGUAGGCGGGGCCUAGUACCGGAUAGGCGCUCCGGCUGGGUUGGUGGGGGUGGCAAUGUUCUACGGUUGGGGCUGGACGCGCGGCUUAUCCGCCUGUUGGUGGGGUAGUGGCUUACCAAGGCUUUGCCGGGUAGCCGGCCUGAGAGGGUGACCGGCCACAUUGGGACUGAGAUACGGCCCAGACUCCUACGGGAGGCAGCAGUGGGGAAUAUUGCACAAUGGGCGGAAGCCUGAUGCAGCAACGCCGCGUGCGGGAUGACGGCCUUCGGGUUGUAAACCGCUUUCGCCUGUGACGAAGCGUGAGUGACGGUAAUGGGUAAAGAAGCACCGGCUAACUACGUG
This 468-nucleotide ribosomal RNA is filed under the name uncultured bacterium. RNAcentral's name for it is "partial 16S ribosomal RNA". The stretch from base 49 to 468 matches the Rfam family "Bacterial small subunit ribosomal RNA", at positions 39 to 507 of the family's 1533-position model. The record is from RNAcentral.